This 1035-nucleotide ribosomal RNA is filed under the name uncultured Marivirga sp. RNAcentral describes it as "bacterial SSU rRNA". It matches the Rfam family "Bacterial small subunit ribosomal RNA", at positions 129 to 1170 of the family's 1533-position model. The record is from RNAcentral. Lineage: Bacteria; Pseudomonadati; Bacteroidota; Cytophagia; Cytophagales; Marivirgaceae.
CCUUAAACUGGAGAUAGCCUUCCGAAAGGGAGAUUAAUACCGCAUAAUACUAUUUGAGGGCAUCUGAGGAUAGUUAAAGAUUUAUUGGUUUAAGAUGGGCAUGCGUGCCAUUAGCUAGUUGGUAGGGUAACGGCCUACCAAGGCGACGAUGGCUAGGGGUUCUGAGAGGAUGAUCCCCCACACUGGCACUGAGAUACGGGCCAGACUCCUACGGGAGGCAGCAGUAGGGAAUAUUGGGCAAUGGGCGAAAGCCUGACCCAGCCAUGCCGCGUGCAGGAAGAAGGCCUUCUGGGUUGUAAACUGCUUUUAUCUGGGAAGAAAAAGCCCCUGCGGGGGAAACUGACGGUACCAGAGGAAUAAGCACCGGCUAACUCCGUGCCAGCAGCCGCGGUAAUACGGANGGUGCAAGCGUUGUCCGGAUUUAUUGGGUUUAAAGGGUGCGUGGGCGGCCCGGUAAGUCAGUGGUGGAAACCUCCAGCUCAACUGGAGAACUGCCAUUGAUACUGCCGGGCUUGAGUACAGACGAGGUUGGCGGAAUUGAUAGUGUAGCGGUGAAAUGCAUAGAUACUAUCAAGAACUCCGAUUGCGUAGGCAGCUAACUAGGCUGUAACUGACGCUGAGGCACGAAAGCGUGGGGAGCGAACAGGAUUAGAUACCCUGGUAGUCCACGCUGUAAACGAUGAUGACUCGAUGUUGGCGAUAAACUGUCAGCGUCUAAGCGAAAGCGUUAAGUCAUCCACCUGGGGAGUACGCCCGCAAGGGUGAAACUCAAAGGAAUUGAGGGGGGCCCGCACAAGCGGUGGAGCAUGUGGUUUAAUUCGAUGAUACGCGAGGAACCUUACCUAGGCUAGAAUGCGCGUGACCGCCUCAGAGAUGAGGCUUUCCUUCGGGACACAAAGCAGGGUGCUGCAUGGCCGUCGUCAGCUCGUGCCGUGAGGUGUUGGGUUAAGUCCCGCAACGAGCGCACCCCUAUCUUUAGUUGCCAGCACAUGAUGGUGGGGACUCUAAAGAGACUGCCUGCGCCAGCAGUGAGGA